ACAUCCAAGAAAAAAAUAGGUAGAGAAGAAAGCGGAAAGGGAAUACUUGAGUAGGAGGCCAAAAACAAAGUGAGGAGUGUAAAAGGGCAAAAGGCGAUGGCAAAGGCAAAGGCUGCUUAAUGAGCAGCCGAGGUAGUAGACCCACUUAAAAACCAAAUUAGUGGCUCCCAGCCACAACUGGCAAGUGAGCCAGACAAGUGGAUAAGCGGCUCAAAGGACUCUAGGUGCUUUGUUGUUUCACUCUUAAAAAAAAAAUUAAAUCUUAAAAAAUUAAAUGAUUUAAAAUCGUAUUUGUUUCUGUCAGCGUAUGAAAAUAAUUACUAGAUGGACUGACGAUUUCUCAUUCCAAAAUUAUCCUUCGAGCGCCGCGCAUAAUGAGCACAAAGGUGCACAAACGAAGAACCGGAAAGUCCUCUCCAGCCAACUCAUUAUGCACAUCAUCAAUAUAAUGAAGGAUCUCUGGCCGAAAAAAAAAUUGAGUGUGGACCAACCUUGAAAUGCCCGCCGAAUGAAUGAAAAGUCCUGGAGGCAUACCAAUCCUGCACCAUGUUUACCUUCGUACGCUCGUUAUAAUAAAAUGUUUCAAAAGCAA
Molecule: small RNA, 592 nt
Filed under: Drosophila ananassae
Lineage: Eukaryota; Metazoa; Arthropoda; Insecta; Diptera; Drosophilidae
Description: GF27633
Source: RNAcentral